GAAAAUAUAAGUUUAUAAGUUAAUAUAAUUGUUACACAUUGCAACCAACAUCUUACAUUGAUAAGCCAAAGAAACACUAUCUAUUCUUGAGUUCUAUAGUGGCUUAAUGACGAAAAGGUCACAGCUACUGUAUACUUCAGAAAGAACAUAAAUUAUUUUUACAUGGAUAAAUUGUUAAAGAUGCUUUGUCAGCCAUUGCAUUGUUCUCAAUAAAAGUAAAAGAAAUAUAAAAACAAGUAUAUAUCUGCUGAUCUGUGUCAUCGAGAAAGAUGAAAAAAGGACUGGUUCUUCGUUAUGUAGAAUGGAUGGCAAAGAGAGGGCUGUGGGAAUAGAAAAAUUGAUGCCUAGAAGAAGGAUAUUGUCGUUACCUUUUUUUUCUUUUUUCACUUUUGC
RNAcentral lists this long non-coding RNA (393 nucleotides) under Panax ginseng (ginseng). RNAcentral describes it as "long non-coding RNA (PGIN_LNC005074)". Lineage: Eukaryota; Viridiplantae; Streptophyta; Magnoliopsida; Apiales; Araliaceae. The record is from RNAcentral.